AGAGCGAACGCUGGCGGCAGGCUUAACACAUGCAAGUCGAGCGGGCGUAGCAAUACGUCAGCGGCAGACGGGUGAGUAACGCGUGGGAACAUACCUUUGGUUCGGAACAACACAGGGAAACUUGUGCUAAUACCGGAUAAGCCCUUACGGGGAAAGAUUUAUCGCCGAAAGAUUGGCCCGCGUCUGAUUAGCUAGUUGGUGAGGUAACGGCUCACCAAGGCGACGAUCAGUAGCUGGUCUGAGAGGAUGAUCAGCCACAUUGGGACUGAGACACGGCCCAAACUCCUACGGGAGGCAGCAGUGGGAAUAUUGGACAAUGGGCGCAAGCCUGAUCCAGCCAUGCCGCGUGAGUGAUGAAGGCCCUAGGGUUGUAAAGCUCUUUUGUGCGGGAAGAUAAUGACGGUACCGCAAGAAUAAGCCCCGGCUAACUUCGUGCCAGCAGCCGC
This 446-nucleotide ribosomal RNA is filed under the name uncultured bacterium. RNAcentral describes it as "SSU rRNA". It matches the Rfam family "Bacterial small subunit ribosomal RNA", at positions 26 to 518 of the family's 1533-position model. The record is from RNAcentral.